This 2059-nucleotide long non-coding RNA is filed under the name Homo sapiens (human). RNAcentral's name for it is "HSALNT0230170". The record is from RNAcentral. Lineage: Eukaryota; Metazoa; Chordata; Mammalia; Primates; Hominidae.
CACACACACAGGCAGAGAAAGGGAGUAAGACAGAAGACAGACACAGUGAGAGAGACAGACAGAGAGAGAGAGAAAUAGGCAGAGAGAGACAGAGAGAGAGAGAAGACGGAGAAAGAGAGACAGAGAGAGGAGGAGGAAGGGCGUGCUCAGGAAAUAAUUACACAUAUUUUAUAACGCUUUUGAUCCCAUAAACGGUGGCCGAGGUGUGCUUUGAAAACAACAACAACAACAGCAACAAGAGCAGCAGCAGCAGCAAGAGCAGCAGCAGCAUUCACUUACGGAUUUCUAGAACAUAAGAUGUUCUGAAGAGUAGUAAACAUCAACCGGCUCUCACUAUACGUUCAGAGAUUCACAAAAUCGUUAGUAAACAACAGGAGAAAACCGCAGCUUACAUGUCUUGGGGAAAAUAUACGUCUUCCUGAAAACUGGGGAUUUCUACUUCAUCUAAAAAGAAAUACAUAAGAAAAAGGAAAAACACGAACGAAACAAAACAAGCCAACAAACACGGGCCAAGGCACUGUCCCUGGAAAUCUUAAGUGAGCAAAGUAUUAGUUUUCAGAAAGCGUUUCUAUUUUGGACAAAUACUAAGAAGGCCCAGACUAGAGCUGUGACGUCAUUCCUAUUGUGAAACUAUGCUGGCCGGAGGGCGGAGAAACUAAAACAUCAUGAUAAAAGGUGAUUGAAACCCAGCCGGGGUGAAGGUUUCCUAGGGAGGGAGGCCUGAGGAAGGAAGCGGGGUAAAAAACCCACAACUGCAGACCCGCCCGCUUGCCGACGCGGGUCAAGGGCUAUGCCAUCGGCCCAAGCUGCCUCUGGGGAAGUGGGACCGUGCCACCCCCAUCUUCAAAAACGGUGGCCACUGAGUAAGGCCUGACGCCCACCGUUGCAAAUGUCAGCCUGAGACUGACAUCCUCUGCCCCAUGCUUUUCAAUUUUCUAGGACUGGACUUCCCCUUCAAUGAUCAUUCUUCUAGGUUACAAAGAAGAUCAAAGCCCUUUGCAUGGCUUACAAGGGACUGGAGGACCUGGCUGCUUGCUCUUUCAUUCCUUUUGAGGACAUGGGGCCGUCUGUGAUUUUUAAGGAACUCUAUGUUAAACAUUUUCUAAUUUCCAUUUUGAGUCUUGUCUAAAAUGUGUGAGAGUAGUGGAGAUAUUGGGAUUUGGUUUAGAAAUCCCAGAAACACCACAUCCAGAUGUCUUAUGUUUUCUGCUUUAUAAUUUCAUAUCCUGUGAAGGUUUCAAAUGUGAUUCUACAGAAAUUCAUACUCAAUAAUUUUAUCAGAACACUAAGCAUCUGCCCCAUAUAGUAAAACCUAAUGUUAUUUUACUUCAAAAUUUUAAGUUUUUGGUAUGUAUUGAGGCUAAUAUUGUAAACACUCUGUGCCAUAAUUCCUAAACUGUAAUAUGGUUUAAAGUAUCUACUUUCUUCAUUUAAAACAUGUACUUUGCCAUUGAGGAAGUCAGAAUAUUGCUGAGCAUGUAUUAAAUACCCAUUUGUUUCCUGUUUUUUAACUAGUUAUCAUUUUAUAAUUUUCUCUUGUUUAGUUUGAAGCUUACUAGGAUUUUUUCAUUGAUAUGUAUGCAUAUAUAUAUACACACACACAAGUAUAUACAUAACAACAUAUGUAAUUGAUAUAUAUGUAUAAGCUUUAUAUAUGUGUAUAUACACACUUAUGUGAAUAUAUGCAUGUGUACAUAACAUUAAUUUUCUGACCAAUAAAAAUUGCAUAAUUAUGUAUAGUGUACAUUAUAAAAAUUUGAUAUGUAUAUAUAUUGUAAGAUGUUUAAUACAAUUAAGGUGAUGAACAUUUAUGUCACCUCACAUGGUUAUGUUUUUUGUAGUGAGAGAAUUUGAGGUAUCCUACUGUUGCAGCAAAUUUUAAGCAUAGAAAACACUGUUAUUAACUACAUCUUAAAGCUAUACAUUAGACCCCCAAAACUUAUUUAUCUUAUAACUGGAAGUUUGAACUCUUUGAACACCUUAUCAUUUUUUCUACCUCCAGGCCUGGUCAUUACCAUUGUACUCUCUGCUUCUAUGAGUUCAGGCUUUUUAAAUUGUC